GAGGUUGCUCACGACGUUUUGGAUGCCCUGGAGGAGGAGGAGAAGGAUGUUCUGAAUCUGAUGGAGGAGUUGAAGGACGUUCUGAGGCUGGUGGGGAAGGUAAAUGACGUGGAGGAGGAGGAAUUUCUGAGGCUGGCGGGGAAGGUAAAUGACGUGGAGGUGAAUGUGAUGGUGGGACUAACUUAGGUGGUGGAAGUGGAUUGCUUGGAGGGUCUGGUGCAGGUAGUGAAGGAGGGCUUUCCGGUGGUGGUGGUGGAUUUGUUGGCGGGCUGGGUGAUGUAAUAGGAGUAGUAGGAGGAGCUUCAGUUGGUGGAGGUGGCGGGGGAGAAGAUUCUGGUGGAGGUGAUGAUACUGGAUUCGCUGGAGGAGGAGCUUCAGUUGGUAAAGGUGGUGGGGGAGAAGGUUCUGGUGGAGGAGAUACUGGAAUCGUCGUCGGAGGAGGUCCAGUUAGUGAAGGUGAUGGGGGAGAAGGUUCUGGUGGUGGUGAUGAUAGUGGAGUCUCAGGAGGAGGAGAAGACUGAGCUGGGGUGUUUGUGGUCUCUGGUGGAUUGCCAUUAGUGGGCUCUCUAGU
Molecule: long non-coding RNA, 571 nt
Filed under: Arabidopsis thaliana (thale cress)
Lineage: Eukaryota; Viridiplantae; Streptophyta; Magnoliopsida; Brassicales; Brassicaceae
Description: long non-coding RNA (ATHA_LNC000399)
Source: RNAcentral